RNAcentral lists this ribosomal RNA (406 nucleotides) under uncultured bacterium. Its description in RNAcentral is "partial 16S ribosomal RNA". It matches the Rfam family "Bacterial small subunit ribosomal RNA", at positions 30 to 526 of the family's 1533-position model. The record is from RNAcentral.
AUUGAACGCUGGCGGCAGGCCUAACACAUGCAAGUCGAGCGAGCGGCGGACGGGUGCGUAAUGUCUGGGAACCUGCCUGAUGGAGGGGGAUAACUACUGGAAACGGUAGCUAAUACCGCAUACCAUCAGAUGUGCCCAGAUGGGAUUAGCUAGUAGGUGGGGUAAUGGCUCACCUAGCCGACGAUCCCUAGCUGGUCUGAGAGGAUGACCAGCAACACGGGAACGGAGACACGGCCCAGACUCCUACGGGAGGGAGCAGUGGGGAAUAUUGCACAAUUGGCGCAAGCCUGAUGCAGCCAUGCCGCGUGUAUGAAGAAGGCCUUCGGGUUGUAAAGUACUUUCAGCGGGGAGGCGGUACCCGCAGAAGAAGCACCGGCUAACUCCGUGCCAGCAGCCGCGGUAAUUC